This 325-nucleotide RNase P RNA is filed under the name Pelusios castaneus (West African mud turtle). Its description in RNAcentral is "Nuclear RNase P (ENSPCEG00000002539.1)". It matches the Rfam family "Nuclear RNase P". From Rfam's summary of the family: Ribonuclease P (RNase P) is a ubiquitous endoribonuclease, found in archaea, bacteria and eukarya as well as chloroplasts and mitochondria. Lineage: Eukaryota; Metazoa; Chordata; Testudines; Pelomedusidae. The record is from Rfam by way of RNAcentral.
GUCAGAGGGAAGCUCACCACUGAGGUCACAUGCUGGGUGUUUAUCACUCCCAAGUCAAUACCUUAGGGAAGGUCUGAGACAGGAGCCAAUGGCUGCCCUUGCAGGGCAUCACCUGAGGCAGGUGGAUGAGUUACCAGCAAUGUUGGGACUUCAGGUGGGACACUCAAAGGGCAGAAGAAGCUGGUUGAUGAUCUCUAAGUGGAUGCCCUUCCCCCCAGAGUAUUGGAACAGGCUCAUGGCUGGCAGUGCUGAGUUCAAUGGGCUGAGGUGAGACUAGUGUCCCUUGCACAUCUCAUAACCCAAUUCAGACUACUCUCCCUCUGGC